This 110-nucleotide ribosomal RNA is filed under the name Planctomycetota bacterium. The record is from RNAcentral. Lineage: Bacteria; Pseudomonadati; Planctomycetota.
CCCGGUGACCAUAGGCGGCUGGAAACUCCCGUUCCCAUCCCGAACACGGUCGAUAAGCAGCCGCUGCCGAUGAUAGUCCCUUCGGGGGCGAAAGUAGGUCAUUGCCGGGC